RNAcentral lists this ribosomal RNA (192 nucleotides) under Triticum aestivum (bread wheat). RNAcentral's name for it is "partial small subunit ribosomal RNA". The record is from RNAcentral. Lineage: Eukaryota; Viridiplantae; Streptophyta; Magnoliopsida; Poales; Poaceae.
AUGCUGUGGUCUCGGAGUCACGAAUUUGCCCGUCACGAUGUUCUUCCUCAAGUCGUAGCGGGCCGGGAAUCGAAUAUUUGGUGGGUUUUCUUUCCUAUAUAUGACAAGGGGAUUCUAUUUCUCCGUUCCUAUUUAACAUCGCAGCUGAAUGUUUGUCCAAAAUGGUGCGUCAAGCACAGAAACAUGGACUGA